AGUCGAACGGUAGCAGAAAGUGCUUGCACUUUGCUGACGAGUGGCGGACGGGUGAGUAAUGCUUGGGAACUUGCCUUUAGGUGGGGGAUAACAGUUGGAAACGACUGCUAAUACCGCAUAAUGUCUACGGACCAAAGGGGGCUUCGGCUCCCGCCUUGAGAGAGGCCCAAGUGAGAUUAGCUAGUUGGUGGGGUAAAGGCCUACCAAGGCAACGAUCUCUAGCUGUUCUGAGAGGAAGAUCAGCCACACUGGGACUGAGACACGGCCCAGACUCCUACGGGAGGCAGCAGUGGGGAAUAUUGCACAAUGGGGGAAACCCUGAUGCAGCCAUGCCGCGUGUGUGAAGAAGGCCUUCGGGUUGUAAAGCACUUUCAGUUGUGAGGAAAGGUUGGUAGUUAAUACCUGCCAGCUGUGACGUUAACAACAGAAGAAGCACCGGCUAACUCCGUGCCAGCAGCCGCGGUAAUACGGAGGGUGCGAGCGUUAAUCGGAAUUACUGGGCGUAAAGCGCACGCAGGCGGCUUGUUAAGCUAGAGGUGAAAGCCCCGCGCUCAACGUGGGAACUGCCUUUAGAACUGGCAGGCUAGAGUCUUGGAGAGGGGAGUGGAAUUCCAGGUGUAGCGGUGAAAUGCGUAGAUAUCUGGAGGAACAUCAGUGGCGAAGGCGGCUCCCUGGCCAAAGACUGACGCUCAUGUGCGAAAGUGUGGGUAGCGAACAGGAUUAGAUACCCUGGUAGUCCACACCGUAAACGCUGUCUACUAGCUGUUUGUGUAUUUAAUACGUGAGUAGCGAAGCUAACGCGCUAAGUAGACCGCCUGGGGAGUACGGCCGCAAGGUUAAAACUCAAAUGAAUUGACGGGGGCCCGCACAAGCGGUGGAGCAUGUGGUUAAUUCGAUGCAACGCGAAGACCUUACCUACUCUUGACAUCCAGGAAUUUUUCAGAGAUGAUUAGUGCCUUCGGGAUCCUGAAACGGUGCUGCAUGCU
RNAcentral lists this ribosomal RNA (986 nucleotides) under Marisediminitalea sp. RNAcentral describes it as "bacterial SSU rRNA". It matches the Rfam family "Bacterial small subunit ribosomal RNA", at positions 60 to 1049 of the family's 1533-position model. The record is from RNAcentral. Lineage: Bacteria; Pseudomonadati; Pseudomonadota; Gammaproteobacteria; Alteromonadales; Alteromonadaceae.